Molecule: ribosomal RNA, 869 nt
Filed under: uncultured crenarchaeote
Lineage: Archaea; Thermoproteati; Thermoproteota
Description: bacterial SSU rRNA
Rfam family: Archaeal small subunit ribosomal RNA
Source: RNAcentral
ACCCCACUGCUAUCGGGAUAGGACUAAGACAUGCUAGUCGUGCGCUUCCUAGCCAAUUUGGGAGCGCGGCACACAGCUCAGUAACACGUGGCUAACCUGCCCUUGGGACCAGAAUACCCCCGGGAAACUGGGGCUAAUUCUCGAUAGGUGAAGAACUCUGGAAUGAGUCUUCGCUUAAAAGAGGCUGGGGUUAUGCUCUCCAGUUUCGCCCAAGGAUGGGGCCGCGACCGAUCAGGUUGUUGGUGAGGUAAUGGCUCACCAAGCCUUUUACCGGUGCGGGCCGUGAGAGCGGGAGCCCGGAGAUGGGCACUGAGACAAGGGCCCAGGCCCUACGGGGCGCGGCAGUCGCGAAAACUUUGCAAUAAGCGAAAGCUUGACAGGGCUAUCCCGAGUGCCAUCCGCUGAGGAAGGCUUUUACCCAGUCUAGAACGCUGGGGGAAUAAGGAGAGGGCAAGUCUGGUGUCAGCCGCCGCGGUAAUACCAGCUCUCCGAGUGGUGUGGAUGUUUAUUGGGCCUAAAGCAUCCGUAGCUGGCUAAGUUAGUCCCUUGUUAAAUCCACCGAAUUAAUCGUUGGAUUGCGGGGGAUACUGCUCGGCUAGGGGACGAGAGAGGCAGACGGUAUUCCCGGGGUAGGGGUGAAAUCCUAUAAUCCCGAGAAGACCACCAGUGGCGAAGGCUGUCUGCUAGAACGCGCCCGACGGUGAGGGAUGAAAGCUGGGGGAGCGAACCGGAUUAGAUACCCGGGUAGUCCCAGCUGUAAACGAUGCAGACUAGGUGUUUGGACGGCCACGUGCCGUUCUAGUGCCGCAGGGAAGCUGUUAAGUCUGCCGCCUGGGGAGUACGAUCGCAAGGUUGAAACUUAAAGGAAU